This 226-nucleotide long non-coding RNA is filed under the name Vigna radiata. RNAcentral's name for it is "long non-coding RNA (VRAD_LNC012440)". Lineage: Eukaryota; Viridiplantae; Streptophyta; Magnoliopsida; Fabales; Fabaceae. The record is from RNAcentral.
UGAUACGAGCCCAUUGGGUCAAGCUAGUGACGUUAAAGAAGCACUUGCUGGGAGGCAACUCAGUUCUUUGAACUUCUAGUUUGAAUUUUUAUUUUUGGUUUUAAUUUUUGUUCUAUUCCAUUUUAUUUUAUUUUUUUGUGUGCUAUGCUUGAAUGAAAUGAAUUUUGAUUCAACUAUGCCUGUUUUCUGUGAUGGGUUUUGCUUUAUGAGAUUAUAUUGUUUGAUU